GGCCUUACCUCAAGCUCGGCGUCAAGGCUCGCGGCUGCAAUGGCUUAUCCUACACGCUCAAUUACGCUGAUGAGAAAGGAAAGUUUGAUGAAUUGGUUGAGGAAAAGGGUGUAAAGAUACUUAUUGAACCAAAAGCUCUCAUGCACUUUAUUGGAACUCAGCCCUCAGUUUGUCAUCAACAAAAUCCAUCUUAGAUAUUUAUAAAUCCAAACUCUAAAGGCCAAUGUGGUUGUGGCGAAUCUUUCAUGACAACAACUAGUGCUGGAGCUGCUAAGCAGGUUGGCAGCACAUAAGACUUGUGAUGGCUUGAGAUAUCAUAACUGACCCAUUGUUUCAUACUCACCAUGCACUGAUGGUAUCUAGCAAAACACUUGUAUGAGAGCACACCUAGUUUCCUUAGCAAAAGAAAGCAAAAGC
RNAcentral lists this unclassified non-coding RNA (417 nucleotides) under Hevea brasiliensis (rubber tree). Lineage: Eukaryota; Viridiplantae; Streptophyta; Magnoliopsida; Malpighiales; Euphorbiaceae. The record is from RNAcentral.